Molecule: long non-coding RNA, 388 nt
Organism: Callithrix jacchus (white-tufted-ear marmoset)
Lineage: Eukaryota; Metazoa; Chordata; Mammalia; Primates; Cebidae
Source: RefSeq, a predicted model, not a curated record
UGAAGGGAACACGCUAUGGAAGUAGACCUAGCUGGACUUUAAAUCUAGUUCUGCUACUUGCUAUCUGUGUGGCAUUGGACAAGACAUUUCACCUUGUAAGCCUCAGAAUAUAUGUCUGUGAAGUACAAAGAGUGCUUCAGCUUAAGUGUUUGAGGACUUUAUAACAUUCCCAUUGUGAGUGCAGAGCUUCAAAAGUAUUUAUCAACAAUGUUAAAUGAAGCCACCUGUCACAAAAUUAACUGGUGCAAAGCUCAUUGUUAUAUUUGAUAACAUUUUCAUCUCUAUGAAAGAAAGCAAUGUUUCAUCUUGCCAUGAUUGGAAGCUUCCCGAGGCCUCCCGAGAAGCUGAUGCCACUAUGCUUCCUGAACAGCCUACAGAAACAUGAGCC